Molecule: long non-coding RNA, 1323 nt
Organism: Panthera uncia (snow leopard)
Lineage: Eukaryota; Metazoa; Chordata; Mammalia; Carnivora; Felidae
Exons: 2
Source: RefSeq, a predicted model, not a curated record
UUCAGGGUAAUGCCAGCCCAUCGGAGCCCUCACAGCAGCUGGCUUCCAGCGCUGACAGAGUCUCAGCCCAGUCCUGGCUGGGGUCCAGGCUGCCUCCCACCCCUGCGGGGACACAGCCAGCUUCUCUCAGCUCUGGCCAUCUGCUCUCAGCCUCCCGUCCCUAAUCCGGGUGCGAAAGGAACACAGGCACCCGACUCCCCUUCUCUUCCCACCCUGAAGACAAGCGCAUGCCUUUUAAGGAGUUUGCCGCCAACCCCUUCAGGGAAAGCACAGUGAGUAACAGAGGUAUCGUGAAAACGAGGGAUUUACAAAUGUUUCAGACUUGAAGCAGCUGUUACAGCCCCGGCCGCUGGUGGGUGAACUUCCUGUCUGACCCUACUUGAAGAGGCCCACCUGCCCCAGGACAGAUGACCCCGCCAGAUUAGACUUGGGCAACAAACGCCCAGAUGUGCAAGCCUCCGGCGGCCUCUGUGUCUGCUGGGAAAGAAUCUCUGGGCUCAGUGUCUGGAUCAUCCACCAUCGCUGGUGUGGGCCAGGCUGAGAAUGUAGUACAGACUCAGCAGAAGGAGCACCCUGAGGGCAGAGGGAAAGAAGAAAUGAGGAGCUGGGAAGCCAGACCAACCUGCAUGGAGACCUGGGCUAGGGCCAGGGAAAGUGUGCCCCUGCCCCCAGCACCAGUGGGCCCACAGGCCUGGGUGCGAGGGGUGUUGUAGAGAGAAAGCUUUGGACUUAUGGUCCAGAUACCUAGGCUCUGUCCUAACUCUGCCACCCAGUAACUGUGUGAUCAGGGGAACCCACUUGCCCUCUCUGGGCUUUAGUCUUUCCACCUUGAAGACUGAGACAACAGAAGAAAUGAAAUAUGUGAAGUGUGGAGCCCGAGUCAUGAGUAGGCACUCAACAAACAUGACUCCUCAUCUUGUAACCUAAAGCCAGUUGUUGACCACUUCCUGGGGGCUAAGACCCUUCCCAGCCCAGACGAUCUAUUUCUGAAAGAAUCCAUCUUUUCUUCCCUCAUCAGAACAGGCAUGGCCCACCGCACCCAGAUCCCACAGAGACCCUGCUCAAAGGUAGGGGCUUGAACAGUAAGAAGGGAAGAAAGCUGGGGGUUGAGGGAGGUGGGCAGACAUGGUAACAGGAGGGGCUUCCCGCAGCAGAGCCUGACAUGGAUACCUGCCAAGACUCAUCCUGCACCUCCCUGACUUCAUCCAUCCAACCUGCCCCUGCUCCGUCCCUCCCUGCCAACCAUCACAUGUUCCCUGCGGCUAUAACCGUGGACUCAGACCAUUCCGUUUGGUGCUGUGGCUCAACCCUCCUGGAUCAUCC